Molecule: small RNA, 421 nt
Filed under: Arabidopsis thaliana (thale cress)
Lineage: Eukaryota; Viridiplantae; Streptophyta; Magnoliopsida; Brassicales; Brassicaceae
Description: ATSL292980
Source: RNAcentral
AAUAUUGAUUUUAUUAAAUUGGUUUAGUUGUGUUGGUUAAACUUAAAUUGGCAUUGGUUUAAAGAUUUUAGUUGGUUUAAUUCAAUUUUACAAAACUUGAUGGGUUAAUUGGGUAAACCAUUGAAACCAUUACAACCCAACUCAUUUUACUCAUCAAACCAAUUGACUCAUCAACUCAUUUGAGUCAAAAUUUUGAACUCAUUAGGGUUCACGGGUUGAGUUGAGUUGAGUUGACCCAUGAAUUUUGACCCAUUUUGACACCCCUACUUAAACUACAUAUUGUUUAUCAAAAUAAAAACACCUAUUAGAUUGAGACAUUUCAAAAAAUUAUGGUUGUCGCAAUUAUCGUAGGCGAUUAGAGUAAGGUAGUAAGCACACUUAUGAUUUAAGAAUGUUAAUUUUCAAAUUUCAAUUUUUUUUU